Molecule: transfer RNA, 73 nt
Filed under: Podarcis lilfordi (Lilford's wall lizard)
Lineage: Eukaryota; Metazoa; Chordata; Lepidosauria; Squamata; Lacertidae
Rfam family: tRNA
About the family: Transfer RNA (tRNA) molecules are approximately 80 nucleotides in length. Their secondary structure includes four short double-helical elements and three loops (D, anti-codon, and T loops). Further hydrogen bonds mediate the characteristic L-shaped molecular structure. tRNAs have two regions of fundamental functional importance: the anti-codon, which is responsible for specific mRNA codon recognition, and the 3' end, to which the tRNAs corresponding amino acid is attached (by aminoacyl-tRNA synthetases). tRNAs cope with the degeneracy of the genetic code in two manners: having more than one tRNA (with a specific anti-codon) for a particular amino acid; and 'wobble' base-pairing, i.e. permitting non-standard base-pairing at the 3rd anti-codon position.
Source: Rfam by way of RNAcentral
UCUCAGAUAGCUCAGUCAGUAGAGCAUGAGGCUCUUAAUCUCAGGGCCAUGGGUUCAAACCCCACCUUGGGCA